CCUACGGGAGGCAGCAGUGGGGGAUAUUGCACAAUGGGGGGAACCCUGAUGCAGCGACGCCGCGUGGGUGAAGAAGCGCCUCGGCGCGUAAAGCCCUGUCAGCAGGGAAGAAAAUGACGGUACCUGAAGAAGAAGCCCCGGCCAAGUACGUGCCAGAAGCCGCGGUAAGACGUAGGGGGCAAGCGUUAUCCGGAUUUACUGGGUGUAAAGGGGGCGCAGACGGCGAUGCAAGCCAGGAGUGAAAGCCCGGGGCCCAACCGCGGGACUGCUCUUGGAACUGCGUGGCUGGAGUGCAGGAGGGGCAGGCGGAAUUCGUGGUGUAGCGGUGAAAUGCGUAGAUAUCAGGAGGAACACCGGUGGCGAAGGCGGCCUGCUAGACUGCAACUGACAUUGAGGCCCGAAAGCGUGGGGAGCAAACAGGAUUAGAUACCCGUGUAGUC
Molecule: ribosomal RNA, 440 nt
Filed under: uncultured bacterium
Lineage: Bacteria
Description: partial 16S ribosomal RNA
Rfam family: Bacterial small subunit ribosomal RNA
Source: RNAcentral